GUGCUUGCUUCGGCAGCACCUAUACUAAAAUUGGAAUGAUACAGAGAAGAUAGCAUGGCCCUUGCACAAGGAUGACACGCCAAUUCAUGAAGUGUUCCAUAUUUUU
This 106-nucleotide small nuclear RNA is filed under the name Vombatus ursinus (common wombat). Lineage: Eukaryota; Metazoa; Chordata; Mammalia; Diprotodontia; Vombatidae. The record is from RNAcentral.